Molecule: ribosomal RNA, 779 nt
Filed under: Bacillus thuringiensis
Lineage: Bacteria; Bacillati; Bacillota; Bacilli; Caryophanales; Bacillaceae
Description: bacterial SSU rRNA
Rfam family: Bacterial small subunit ribosomal RNA
Source: RNAcentral
GCCUAAUACAUGCAAGUCGAGCGAAUGGAUUGAGAGCUUGCUCUCAAGAAGUUAGCGGCGGACGGGUGAGUAACACGUGGGUAACCUGCCCAUAAGACUGGGAUAACUCCGGGAAACCGGGGCUAAUACCGGAUAACAUUUUGAACUGCAUGGUUCGAAAUUGAAAGGCGGCUUCGGCUGUCACUUAUGGAUGGACCCGCGUCGCAUUAGCUAGUUGGUGAGGUAACGGCUCACCAAGGCAACGAUGCGUAGCCGACCUGAGAGGGUGAUCGGCCACACUGGGACUGAGACACGGCCCAGACUCCUACGGGAGGCAGCAGUAGGGAAUCUUCCGCAAUGGACGAAAGUCUGACGGAGCAACGCCGCGUGAGUGAUGAAGGCUUUCGGGUCGUAAAACUCUGUUGUUAGGGAAGAACAAGUGCUAGUUGAAUAAGCUGGCACCUUGACGGUACCUAACCAGAAAGCCACGGCUAACUACGUGCCAGCAGCCGCGGUAAUACGUAGGUGGCAAGCGUUAUCCGGAAUUAUUGGGCGUAAAGCGCGCCCAGGUGGUUUCUUAAGUCUGAUGUGAAAGCCCACGGCUCAACCGUGGAGGGUCAUUGGAACUGGGAGACUUUGAGUGCAGAAGAGAAAGUGGAAUUCCAUGUGUAGCGGUGAAAUGCGUAGAGAUAUGGAGGAACACCAGUGGCGAAGGCGACUUUUCGGUCUGUACUGACACUGAGGCGCGAAGCAUGGGGGGGCAAAACGGAUUAGAUACCCUGGUAGUCCCCGCCGUAAAC